This 486-nucleotide ribosomal RNA is filed under the name uncultured bacterium. RNAcentral's name for it is "partial 16S ribosomal RNA". It matches the Rfam family "Bacterial small subunit ribosomal RNA", at positions 28 to 507 of the family's 1533-position model. The record is from RNAcentral.
GACGAACGCUGGCGGCGUGCUUAACACAUGCAAGUCGAACGCUGAAGACCUGGCUUUUGUUGGGUUGGAUGAGUGGCGAACGGGUGAGUAACACGUGAGUAACCUGCCCUCUUCUUUGGGAUAACGCCCGGAAACGGGUGCUAAUACUGGAUAUUCACUGAUCUUCGCAUGGGGGUUGGUGGAAAGGUUUGUUCUGGUGGGGGAUGGGCUCGCGGCCUAUCAGCUUGUUGGUGGGGUGAUGGCCUACCAAGGCCUUGACGGGUAGCCGGCCUGAGAGGGUGACCGGUCACAUUGGGACUGAGAUACGGCCCAGACUCCUACGGGAGGCAGCAGUGGGGAAUAUUGCACAAUGGGCGAAAGCCUGAUGCAGCGACGCCGCGUGAGGGAUGGAGGCCUUCGGGUUGUAAACCUCUUUCGCUCAUGGUCAAGCCGCAACUGUGGGUUGUGGUGAGGGUAGUGGGUAAAGAAGCGCCGGCUAACUACGUG